UGGCUUGAAAACUGCAUCAACUCAAACAUUCACGAGGAGACAGGCUGCAACUCCGACAAUCAAGUCAUUUUUCCGUAAAUGACACUUGGCGUUUUUUUGGAGUCACCGUCAGUCAAAGGCGAACCCCGCCCAUCCCAAGUGGGUUGGGGCUUUUCUAAUGUGGGAUGACAUCACCCCCCCCCUUUUUUUUUCUCUUUCUCCUUUCAGCAUAUCUGUCAUCAGCAAGACCGGCAAGCAGAAGUACAAGAUUUGACUCAACAUCCCGAUGGGGGAAAGAAUUCUGCAGAAAGGUGACAAAAUACACAUCUUUGAAUGUACAUGUCAGCCUUUACUGUGUGAGCAACGAAAACGCCAAAGAAAAAGCAGAGCGGCUGAGUCUGUUGGUGGCAGAUGGCGCCUUCCAAUCUGAUCCAAUCGGGCAACACUGCAGGAUUGUGUUUCAAAAUCCAUAUUUUCAACACCCUCAUCAUUCUGUAUUUUGAAGCAUUUUGUAAAACGCAUGCUCAAAUGUGUGUGUGGGGGGGGCUCUUUCCAGGGCCACGCUUCCCCCGAACAGAACGAUGGAAGAAGAGAUACUUUUUCUUUCCAUAGUCGACACAUUUUAUGGAAUACAAAUAAGCACCAACAUGGAUGGCGUUCUGCACGUUGCCUUUAUCAUCAACCCGAAGAAAGGAAGCUGAAAACGUGCCCUCCCUUCAGUCCCUUGACACCAAGAUGGCGGCAUACGUGAUGUGGCUUCGGCUCGAGUGCACAAAAGCCUGGCCCUCCGUCUCUGGAUUCAUAAGAGCUCCGGAAACUCAUCCGAAACGAGCUGCCGCGUGACUCUGCGUUUGGAGAGAUGAUUACAUUCCUACUUUGGCUCCAAACUGAAGAGUGUGAGCGAUAAGAAAAAAAGGCCAAAAGUCUCACGGCCUUAUCA
Syngnathus typhle (broad-nosed pipefish) is the source of this 919-nucleotide long non-coding RNA. RefSeq lists it as uncharacterized. NCBI's taxonomy places the organism in Eukaryota, Metazoa, Chordata, Actinopteri, Syngnathiformes, Syngnathidae. The transcript has 3 exons. The record is from RefSeq and is a predicted model, not a curated record.